RNAcentral lists this long non-coding RNA (914 nucleotides) under Homo sapiens (human). Its description in RNAcentral is "SH3TC2 divergent transcript". Lineage: Eukaryota; Metazoa; Chordata; Mammalia; Primates; Hominidae. The record is from RNAcentral.
AGGCCUGGGGAACAGGGCUCCUCCCUGCCUCUCAGCAGAUCGCUUCAUGCCUAUCAGCCUGCAGCACAUUCCUCGCAUUCUAGGAUUGAGAUACACAGUUUGGUUCUUGUGAGGGCAGCCAGGGCUGGGGAGGAGGGCAGAGAACAUCCCAGAGAUCAAGACUGCUCUUCUUGCUCCCUCCCCGACUGACUUGGCCCACACUGACUGGCCUGCCACCCCUUUACAGUGAUCUCCACCCAGUCUCUCUCUGCAAAGGCCUCCCUUGGCUCUCUGAUAAAGUUGGAGCUGUGGGUGCAGCAUUUCACUUGGACCUAGCAGCAUCAAUGAGCCAGCUCCUCACUGGGGAACAUGCAAACCCCCAGCUGCUGGUGUGCAGGAAAAGAAUCCAGGAGAUCACCUGAUGAAGCCCAGCAUUUUACAGGCAGUGGAGCAGGGGAAUCCAGUUGACACUGUGGCUAAAUUUCAGAAAACCUCCCAUGAGAUCUUGCAAAGGAGAUGGAGAAAAUAUGGCUGAAUGCCAGCAAGAGCAAAGUGGUGAAAGGACCCUGGUGAGAGGCCCAAAGAACAGGAGGUGUGAGCCAAGAGAAGGUCCUGCCAGGCCUAUGUUGCAGGCUAUUUGGAGGCUGAACUUGAGGAAACUUCAGUCUUCAGUCUUAAGGCCUUCAACUGAUUGGAAGGCCCCCAGUCAGCUAGUGGGAAGACCCAUGCACAUUAGAGAGGGUAAUCUGCUUUGUUCACUGUCUACUGAUGUCAAUGUUAAUUAUCUUUAAAAAAAAAUACCUUCAACAUCUAUUUUGUUCUUUGGUCAAACAACUGGCCACCAUAACCUAGCCAAGAGAACACAUGAAAUUAACCAUCACAGAGACCCAUGAGGAUGUGUUGAUACAUUGAAUGUAUGAGAGGAAAAAAAAAAA